RNAcentral lists this ribosomal RNA (320 nucleotides) under uncultured eukaryote. Its description in RNAcentral is "partial 18S ribosomal RNA". It matches the Rfam family "Eukaryotic small subunit ribosomal RNA", at positions 1470 to 1796 of the family's 1831-position model. The record is from RNAcentral.
CCCCUAGAUGUUCUGGGCCGCACGUGCGCUACACUGAACAGUUCAACAAGUCUUAACCUUGGCCGAUAGGUCUGGGUAAUCUUUGAACGCUGUUCGUGAUUGGGAUAGACCUUUGCAAUUAUGGGUCUUCAACGAGGAAUUCCUAGUAAACGCAAGUCAUCAGCUUGCAUUGAUUACGUCCCUGCCCUUUGUACACACCGCCCGUCGCACCUACCGAUUGAAUGGUCCGGUGAAAUCUCGGGACGGCGGCUUGGUCGCUUGCGUCCGACUGCUGAAACUUGAUUAAACCAUAUCAUUUAGAGGAAGGUGAANUCGUANCA